RNAcentral lists this long non-coding RNA (1191 nucleotides) under Mus caroli (Ryukyu mouse). Its description in RNAcentral is "predicted gene 5083 (MGP_CAROLIEiJ_G0004953.1)". The record is from RNAcentral. Lineage: Eukaryota; Metazoa; Chordata; Mammalia; Rodentia; Muridae.
AGGUUGCAUUAAUUUGGACGGCACACGGGAAGGAGCUCGCUCACAUCAGCACAAAACUGAAGCCAGCUGACGUGUUGGAAUUAAUUGGGCCAGGAGGCCGCUGGUCCCCUGGCUUCUUCUGUGGCUGGUCUUUGUGGAUUUUCCUCUUGCUUCUCUCCCAGCAAGUGCUGGGGCUGGGGUGGGAGUGUAUCAGUCCUUACUGCAUGCAUUUGCGACUAGCAGAUGAAAGCUGCUGCUGGAGCCAGUCUAAUUGGAGAGAAUUGCAGUUUAGCGGAUUUCUUACACAAGUAGUAUAUUGACAACAUCUCCUUCCCCCUCCUGAGACUCCUCCCAUGUGACGCUCACCCCCUCACGUGACCCCUCCCUCUUUAAUCUACAUAUGCAAAUCUAAGUGCUGCCUGCUGAGUUCAUUUAUGGACAAUGCCUCUCUCACCAAACUGCCUUCCGCUGGAACUCUGGGAAGGUUCACCGGCUCAAGAUUAUCACGCUGAGGACCGAACUUACUUAGGGGAACACACUCAGUUCCUAGCAGCCAGCCUGCCCUCAUCUUCUCCUUCUGAGAGCAUUAAGAAGUAGCAACUUGGAAAGGAAACUGAGCUAUGGUUCAAUCUGGUUCACACACCAAGCCUUUGAAAGCCAUGCUGUCUUGGUGUUUGUGUUUUCUCAAGGUUGGUCUGUUUCCAUGGAGCGAUCCUCCUGCAGUAGCCUCCCAAGUCAUGGGAUUUCAUGCCUAUACCACCUAGCUUGGGAAUAUGGAAUUCCUAAGAACUCUAAUUCCUUCCAUAAUGGUAUUCAGUUCCGCUUCUUAUUGCCAACUGUAGCCAUUUUUGCAGAGUUUUGGAUUCUCUUUUGUUAGCAUCAAGGUAAUUUCAGAGCAAUGACUCUUGUAAAUUUAAAGUACUUACCCAGAAAAAAUGGGGAUUGGGAGGACAAUCUACUAAAUCAAACCACUUACUAAAACUAGAAUUAGAUAAAAAUAUUAAUUUAAAACUGAAAAAUAAAUGCCCAAAGCUAAGUCUGCUUCCCAUGUCUGUACCCUAACCCUUGUCAAGGCUGCCUCUGAGCCCUUCCCCACCAAAGGCUUGGAGUAUAGACUCCACAAACAUUUUUCCAGGGAUCAGCCCACACCACCCACGGCUAGCCACACGUCUCGCCUCCUCUAUUUGAAAAAUAAAAACAAACCAUCUUCAA